AAAUAAUGCUGGGGUACGAUGCGGAGCGAAAUUUAGUAGCGAAGUAGCUGAUUUCACACUGUCGAGAAAAGUCUCUAUCGAGGUUAAAGGUGCCUGUACCGCAAACCGACACAGGUGGGUGAGGAGAGUAUCCUAAGGCCAGCGAGAGAACUGUUGUUAAGGAACUCGGCAAAAUGACCCCGUAACUUCGGGAGAAGGGGUGCCUUCGAAAGAAGGCCGCAGAGAAUAGGCCCAAGCGACUGUUUACCAAAAACAUAGGUUUCUGCUAAGUCGCAAGACGAUGUAUAGGAGCUGACGCCUGCCCGGUGCUGGAAGGUUAAGGGGAUCUGUUAGAGCAAUCGAAGCAGUGAACUUAAGCCCCAGUAAACGGCGGCCGUAACGAUAACGGUCCUAAGGUAGCGAAAUUCCUUGUCGGGUAAGUUCCGACCCGCACGAAAGGCGUAACGAUUUGGGCACUGUCUCAACAACAGACUCGGUGAAAUUGUAAUACCGGUGAAGAUGCCGGUUACCUGCGACAGGACGGAAAGACCCCAUGGAGCUUUACUGUAGCUUGACAUUGAGUCUCGGUGCUACAUGUACAGGAUAGGUGGGAGACUAUGAAGCAUGGACGUCAGUCUGUGUGGAGUCAUCCUUGGGAUACCACCCUUGUAGUACUGGGAUUCUAACCAGAGGCCAUGAAUCUGGUCUUGGGACACUGUCAGGUGGACAGUUUGACUGGGGCGGUCGCCUCCCAAAAAGUAACGGAGGCGCUCAAAGGUUCUCUCAGUACGGUCGGAAAUCGUACGAAGAGUGUAAAGGCAAAAGAGAGCUUGAUUGCAAGACAUACAGGUCGAGCAAGGACGAAAGUCGGACUUAGUGAUCCGGUGGUUCCGCAUGGAAGGGCCAUCGCUCAACGGAUAAAAGCUACCCUGGGGAUAACAGGCUGAUCUCCCCCAAGAGUCCACAUCGACGGGGAGGUUUGGCACCUCGAUGUCGGCUCAUCACAUCCUGGGGCUGUAGUAGGUCCCAAGGGUUGGGCUGUUCGCCCAUUAAAGUGGUACGCGAGCUGGGUUCAGAACGUCGUGAGACAGUUCGGUCCCUAUCCGUCGCAGGCGUAGGAAAUUUGAGGAGACCCGUCCUUAGUACGAGAGGACCGGGAUGGACGUACCGCUGGUGUACCAGUUGUUCUGCCAAGGGCGUGGCUGGGUAGCUAAGUACGGAAAGGAUAAGCGCUGAAAGCAUCUAAGCGCGAAGCCCACUUCAAGAUAAGAUUUCCCACCGCAAGGUUAAGAUCCCAGGAAGACUACCUGGUUGAUAGGUCAGAGGUGCAAGUGCAGUAAUGUAUUUAGCUUACUGAUACUAAUAGAUCGAGGACUUGACCU
This 1361-nucleotide ribosomal RNA is filed under the name metagenome. RNAcentral describes it as "bacterial LSU rRNA". It matches the Rfam family "Bacterial large subunit ribosomal RNA", at positions 1548 to 2925 of the family's 2925-position model. The record is from RNAcentral.